GUCUUGGUGCCAGAGUGGUUAAUGGGUAUGACUCGAAUGCUUUCAAUCCGAUAUCAUAUGGUUUCGGCCGCGUAGGUUCAAAUCCUGCCCAAGACG
Molecule: transfer RNA, 96 nt
Organism: Pseudogymnoascus sp. 23342-1-I1
Lineage: Eukaryota; Fungi; Ascomycota; Leotiomycetes; Thelebolales; Thelebolaceae
Rfam family: tRNA
About the family: Transfer RNA (tRNA) molecules are approximately 80 nucleotides in length. Their secondary structure includes four short double-helical elements and three loops (D, anti-codon, and T loops).
Source: Rfam